ACUGGAGUUUGAUCCUGGCUCAGGACGAACGCUUGCGGCGUGCCUAAGAAAUGCAAGUCGAACGGGGGCUUCGGCCCCAGUGGCGAACGGUCGCGUAACACGUAAGCAACCUGCCCUGAAGUGGGGGACAACAUCCCGAAAGGGGUGCUAAUACCGCAUGUGGUCACGAGUCGGCAUCGACUUGUGUCUAAAGAUUUAUCGCUUCAGGAUGGGCUUGCGGCCUAUCAGGUAGUUGGUGGGGUAAUGGCCUACCAAGCCGACGACGGGUAGCUGGUCUGAGAGGACGAUCAGCCGGAUUGGGACUGAGAUACGGCCCAGACUCCUACGGGGGGCAGCAAUUAGGAAUCUUGCGCAAUGGGGAAACCCUGACGCAGCGACGUCGCGUGAAGGAUGAAGGCCCCUCGGGUCGUAAACUUCUUUUGAGUGGAAGAAAUUUGACGGUACCACUCGAAUAAGCCCCGGCUAAACUACGUGCUAGCAGCCGCGGUAAUCUGAUGGCG
This 500-nucleotide ribosomal RNA is filed under the name uncultured Armatimonadota bacterium. RNAcentral's name for it is "bacterial SSU rRNA". It matches the Rfam family "Bacterial small subunit ribosomal RNA", at positions 1 to 533 of the family's 1533-position model. Lineage: Bacteria; Bacillati; Armatimonadota. The record is from RNAcentral.